Mauremys reevesii (Reeves's turtle) is the source of this 4835-nucleotide RNA transcript. It is a transcript of the gene named MFNG O-fucosylpeptide 3-beta-N-acetylglucosaminyltransferase, with no coding region annotated. The transcript has 19 exons. The record is from RefSeq and is a predicted model, not a curated record. NCBI's taxonomy places the organism in Eukaryota, Metazoa, Chordata, Testudines, Geoemydidae.
GAGAGCUGAGCAGACAGAGCAGGUGGAAGGCAGCUCGCUUGCUCGUUCCCCGGACCUGGCUAUCCCCAGCCUCUUGCCUGCAUCAGCCUCUAGCCUGGGACCUGUCCUGAUGCAUCCUUUGAUGCUGGGUCAGCCUCUUUGCCUCCAUCAAACUGGAAACCAGAGUCACUCACCUGGAUAUUCCCCCAUCACACCUCCUGGAAACUUGGGACCCUCAACCCCUUGCGUGGAAUGGACUCUCCUCCUGGACCCUUGACCUUUCACCCUGACCAGACCCUUGCCCAGGACCCUCAGCCUCUCAGCGGAGAGCCUGGGGUCUGGGUUAGUUCAGCUCUGGGUGUGUAAUUUGCUGGCCUCCAGGUGUCUGCCUGUCACCUGUCCUGCCAGCUGGAAAAUCAGGUCUUCCUCGUCCCUGUGUCUCUUUCUUGGAGGCUGCCCCCAUUCCCAGGGGCAAUUGUCCCUUUCAGCCUUGGUGUUUGGCUCUCUAAGAAUUUCACUGCCACUUUCUGCUCCCCUCCCAUCACUUUCCAUGGCCAUGUCCUAGUUGGGCCUCAGUUUGUCUGUCCUCCCCUUUGGGAGGCAUGAGGCCACCAUGGGGCUCACAGACUCUGGGGUGUGGAGGAAGAAGCUCCCUCUGCCUGCUGGGCUUCUUGCCGUGGCGUUGGAAGUUGGCAGUGAUGCGUCGGCAUCUCCUCCGCUGUCUCUCUGGAGCUGCUCUGCUCCUUGUCACCAUGGCUUUCCUCUCCAUGAGGCACCGUGGCACUCAAGAGGUGGUCCGCUACCAAGGGGUUGGUGAUGGGACAUCGGAUAUCCUGGAGCACCAGGCUAAAAUGUCCCCAGCGGAUGUGCUGGGAGACAGCAGCAGGAGACAAGAGCUGAAAGAGCCACCAGGCCCUUCCAAGGUGGGCUCUAGUGUGCGGAGAGGCCUGGAGCUUGGAGAGGUUUUCAUUGCUGUGAAGACAACCAAGAGGUUCCACCAGACCAGGCUGGAGCUGCUGCUGGACACUUGGAUAUCCAAGGCAAAAGAGCAGACCUAUGUCUUUACUGAUGAAGAAGACGAAGCCCUGCAGAAGAGAAUGGGUGACCAUGUGAUAUUCACAAACUGCUCCACAGAGCAUAGCCACCCAGCCCUCUCCUGCAAGAUGGCAGCCGAGUUCGAUGCAUUCUUGGCCAGUGGCCUGAGCUGGUUUUGCCACUUGGAUGAUGAUAACUACCUAAACCCACAGGCCCUCUUGAAGCUCUUGUCUUCCUACUCUCCAGCCCAGGACGUUUACAUUGGGAAGCCCAGCCUGAACCGGCCCAUCCACGCCUCCGAAACAAUGCCCAACAAUCAGACGAGGUCCGUGCGCUUCUGGUUCGCUACUGGAGGGGCAGGAUUCUGCAUCAGCCGCAGGCUGGCCAUCAAGAUGGCACCUUGGGCCAGCGGCAGUAACUUCCUGAGCACCUCGGAGCUCAUCCGCCUCCCGGACGACUGCACUGUGGGCUACAUUGUUGAGUGCAAACUGGGCGGGCGUCUGCUCCCCAACACGCUCUUCCACUCUCACCUGGAGAACCUUCAGCUGAUCCCCAGGCCCCAGCUCCUGCAGCAGGUCACCCUCAGCUAUGGUGUCUUUGAGAAGAAACUCAACACUGUUGAGCUGGCCGGCCCCUUCUCCCAGCACGAAGACCCCUCCAGGUUCCAAUCCCUUCACUGCCUUCUCUACCCGGACACUUCCUGGUGCCCACGGCCCGUCUGAGCUCCCACACUCAAAGGGUCCCACUCAGGCCAGCGACUCUCAGUUCAUGUUGUGUGGGGGGGCACUCAGGGAGCGCUGGGUGCUCCCUCUCUCCUUCACAGUGACCACCCUGGGGCCACAGCUAGCGAUAGCUUUGUGGAUCAGUGCUUGCUGAGCACGGCACAGGGUGAGAAGGUACUAUCAUCCAGGGUGUCCCUUGUGACAAUAGCAGCGGCUGUGCGGCUGGGGCGGGACAGCUGUGCUCUGCAAAGCACACAUGCCUCUCGCUUUGUUGGCACCCGGCGGUGCAGGCUGGAGAGUCACAACAACCUCGCUCCGGGAUAGAUCACCACAGCUCCGAUGCCAGCCCAGCCCUGCUGCAGCUAGAAGGCUGGGAGGAUGAAGCCAGAGCAGUCAGUUUCACUUCUGAUUCUAGGUGCCUGCCCGCCUCCUGCAAGGCAAUUAAGCACACGGGGAAUUCUAAACAGCAUCUGAAAGCACUGGACAAUUAAAGAAGUACUGCCUCGCAGCACCGAUCUUAUUGCUAGACUCGUCUUACACAACUGAGCUACAACCUAGCUUGACCAGCUUGCAUGUGCUAAAGCACCACCUUAGUCGUGACUAGACCGGUAAAGGCUGCCUCCAGAACCCAGUACAGAUGAGCCCUAGAAAUCCAGUUCAGGAAAGAUUGAAAGGAGAAAACAACAGGCGCAACGCACGAAAAUCAAAGCAUGCUCCCGUGAGGACAAGAGUGAGAGGGAAUAAAGCCUGCGACUCAUUAAGCACGGUGAAGAGAGGAAACUGCAUCUAAAUCACAAAUGUGUUAACAAGGUUGAUUGCCACUAUCCCACAUUCAAACCACAUUGAUGAGUUGUGAUUGGUCAGACAAGUCACACGCUUUUUUCCCUGCUAUCUGAUUGAGUGAAGAUGCAAGAAGCAUACUUGUGUGUGAACAGACAUUUCGGUCUCUAUGGUCAAUCAAUAGCCUAGAAAGGGCACCGAAGAAAUAAAUGAGAGUCCAAUCCUACUGCCUUUGAAACGGAUGGGAGUUUUGCUGUUGAUUUCAAUGGGAGAAGGACUGGAUCCUUUGCCAUUAGCUAUGGGAGAAGCUCAUGAGAGGGUUGAAAUCCUACAAAGAACAUCUACUGCUCACACGUCUACUGCUUCUCACCUCCCGCUCCCACAGCCCUUCAAAAAGUUUGGGAAACUGAGGCACAGAGUGGUAUGGGGACUUACCCAACACCACACAGAUGCCCUCAUUCCUCCCUGUAAGUCCAGGAACCUGUCCCCUCCAUGGAGGCUCUGGGGCAUGCCAGGGAGGGUCAGAAGCAGCCUGUGUCUCACCCAGGGCUCCAUUCCCAUUCAGAGAGAGCCGGGUAUGAAGGAGAAGACUGGGAUAGACUGAACAUUGGGGCCAAGCUCCUCUUUCACCCCGGCAGAAGGAGGAAUGGCUGGGUCCAACUGGGGAAGCCAUGAGUGGGAAGAAGGCUGGAAUGGAAUGCACCAAACAGCACCUGCCUCCCAUUAGGCAUACGUCACCCAGAGCCCCUCGUCCUGCACAAAUCCAUGGCUCCAGGCAGGGUCCUGAUCACUCUCUCCCAAUGCUGGAGCUGCCUGCGAGGGAGGUUCAGCGAAAAUAAUGAACUAAAAGCCAAGGCCCAGAGAAAGCUGAUUCAUCCUCCGCCCAGGGCCAGCGGCCGGCUCCAAGCAGAGCUGUAAAAUCAAUCUGUCACUGCUCACCGCAUUAUAGAUCAGCGGAGAGAUUCUGACUGCAGCGAGAGGCUGAGCCUGGCCUCCUCAUGGGUCCCUCCUUCUUUCCCAGGCAGAGCAGGAACUGCGAAUGCAGCCCCGACCAAGGACAGAGACCGAUGGACAGAUGGAGGGAGGGAGGGAGAGAUGAGAGAGCUCAGCUGGAAUGGUGAUCAGAAUCCCUCCCAAUGUGACCCCUUCCCCUGCCACCAUUCACCAGGCUCCAAAGGCAGAUUACGCUGUGCACACAGCCACUUUCCUGCCCUCCCUCUUCCCACUCAUGGGGUCACACCUGGAUCAAGAAGUGUGUGUGUGUGAGGGGAGGGAGAUAGGGUGAAUGAUUUCCUCCCCUCAUGCUCCUUUGGGAAUGGCUGCCCCCUCCCUCCCCAAACACCCUGAGGGGGCUCUAAGUACUUCAACCCCCCUUCUCCAGAGUGUCAUACAGAUGCCUUAAUGGGGCCCAGACCCUACCCCCUUGUCUGCUUACUGAUCUUGGUGGAGGGCACGUUUACAAAACGGAGUGCUGAGGGCUGUCUGGAGGGCUAGGCUACUAAUGGUGACAGUGGAUACAGGAGAGGAGAAGGCCUUGCUUAUUGGGUGAUGAACUGGGAGAGGGACUGUCUCUACAACUGACUCGGGCAGAAAGUGUGGAAAACAUUCUUAACUUGUGUAGUCUAUUCAGCCAUGGGAUAAUCCCCUAGGGACUUUACAAAUGGAGUGGACAAAGCCGUGAAGAACAUAUUGCAUGGAAGAAUUCUGCACUGGACCAGAGGUGGACCGGAUGGGGCUUAAAAUAUCUUGUCCAUUCAUAGUCCCUUGGAUUCUCAAGUCUGUGUGUGUGCACAGUGGGUAGUUUUCCUAUAGUUGUUGUGAAUGGGAAAGGUAAAGUAGUUUUCCUGAAGCUGGAGAGAGAGAAAGAGAGAGAGAGAAUCAUUCCUUGAGGCAAUUGCCAAUACAAUAUGUGUGUGGAGGGCAGGUAGUUGGUUUCCCUAGUGCUGGUGCACUUGUGUGUUUUGGUUAUGGGAGAAAGAAUAGCUUUUCUGCAGCUGUUGCAUAUGUGUGGGUGAGGGCUGGGGCUACUUUUCCUGCAGCUUUGAAUCUGAAAGUAAAGGAAGGGGCUAUUUUCUCUACACUUGUUGCCUGUGUUUGUGUAUGUCUGAGAGAUGGGGCGGCUGGGUCAAAUGUCAGUAGUGUUGCAACCACGCAGCAGUGGCUCUGAUUUAGUAUUGGACCACUUCUUAAAAGUGGUUGGGCCCUGGCCCCCCUGGCUCUCCCCCCUGUGGAACUCUGAGCACAUGUAAAAACCUUGCCCCCUAGCCCUCCCUAAUUAGUGCCACUGGGAGGGAUGUGGGUAGUUACAUCUAGUGCAUG